Ailuropoda melanoleuca (giant panda) is the source of this 177-nucleotide long non-coding RNA. RefSeq lists it as uncharacterized. The transcript is spliced from 3 exons. The record is from RefSeq and is a predicted model, not a curated record. NCBI's taxonomy places the organism in Eukaryota, Metazoa, Chordata, Mammalia, Carnivora, Ursidae.
CUGGCGUACAAGCCUGCACCUCCCUCAAAGCAAGCAUCUUGAAAAUUAACUCAGCUUUAAUGUGAAUUUAAAGUAUGAGCAAGACUGUCAGCUUACAGAUCGCAUUGCAAGCCUACCACAUGGGCAGAAGGAGACCAAAAAAUUGCUCAACUGCAAUUCUCUCACAUGGAAGAGGAC